This 481-nucleotide ribosomal RNA is filed under the name uncultured bacterium. Its description in RNAcentral is "bacterial SSU rRNA". It matches the Rfam family "Bacterial small subunit ribosomal RNA", at positions 29 to 526 of the family's 1533-position model. The record is from RNAcentral.
AAUGAACGUUGGCGGCGUGGAUUAGGCAUGCAAGUCGUACGGAGGUAGCAAUACCUUAGUGGCGAAAGGGAUAGGACAAUAUAGAUCAUCUGCCCCCGAGUCGCGGAUAGCUACGGGAAACUGUAGGUAAUACGCGAUAAUCUCUCAGGAGCAAAGGUGUGAUUCCGCUUGGGGAUGAGUCUAUAGCCUAUUAGCUAGUUGGCGGGGUAAUGGCCCACCAAGGCUAUGAUGGGUACGAGGCGUGAGAGCGUGUCCUCGAUCACUGGGACUGAGACACUGCCCAGACACCUACGGGUGGCUGCAGUCGAGAAUCUUCGGCAAUGGACGAAAGUCUGACCGAGCGACGCCGCGUGAGCGAUGAAGGUCUUCGGAUUGUAAAGCUCUGUAAGUUGGGAGGAAAUGUAUGGGGGUUCUCCCCUGUACUUGACCUAUCUUCAAAGUAAGGACGGGCUAAGUUCGUGCCAGCCGCCGCCGGUAACAC